AGAGUUUGAUCCUGGCUCAGGACGAACGCUGGCGGCGCGCCUAACACAUGCAAGUCGAACGAGCGAGAGAGAGCUUGCUUUCUCGAGCGAGUGGCGAACGGGUGAGUAACGCGUGAGGAAUCUGCCUCAAAGAGGGGGACAACAGUUGGAAACGACUGCUAAUACCGCAUAAGCCCACGGCUCGGCAUCGAGCAGAGGGAAAAGGAGCAAUCCGCUUUGAGAUGGCCCCGCGUCCGAUUAGCUAGUUGGUGAGGUAAUGGCCCACCAAGGCGACGAUCGGUAGCCGGACUGAGAGGUUGAACGGCCACAUUGGGACUGAGACACGGCCCAGACUCCUACGGGAGGCAGCAGUGGGGAAUAUUGCACAAUGGGGGAAACCCUGAUGCAGCGACGCCGCGUGGAGGAAGAAGGUCUUCGGAUUGUAAACUCCUGUUGUUGAGGAAGAUAAUGACGGUACUCAACAAGGAAGUGACGGCUAACUACGUGCCAGCAGCCGCGGUAAAACGUAGGUCACAAGCGUUGUCCGGAAUUACUGGGUGUAAAGGGAGCGCAGGUGGGAAGACAAGUUGGAAGUGAAAUCUAUGGGCUCAACCCAUAAACUGCUUUCAAAACUGUUUUUCUUGAGUAGUGCAGAGGUAGGCGGAAUUCCCGGUGUAGCGGUGGAAUGCGUAGAUAUCGGGAGGAACACCAGUGGCGAAGGCGGCCUACUGGGCACCAACUGACGCUGAGGCUCGAAAGUGUGGGUACAAACAGGAUUAGAUACACUGGUAGUCCACACCGUAAACGAUGAUUACUAGGUGUUGGAGGAUUGACCCCUUCAGUGCCGCAGUUAACACAAUAAGUAAUCCACCUGGGGAGUACGACCGCAAGGUUGAAACUCAAAGGAAUUGACGGGGGCCCGCACAAGCAGUGGAGUAUGUGGUUUAAUUCGACGCAACGCGAAGAACCUUACCAAGUCUUGACAUCCCUUGACGAUGCUGGAAACAGUAUUUCUCUUCGGAGCAAGGAGACAGGUGGUGCAUGGUUGUCGUCAGCUCGUGUCGUGAGAUGUUGGGUUAAGUCCCGCAACGAGCGCAACCCUUACUGUCAGUUACUACGCAAGAGGACUCUGGCAGGACUGCCGUUGACAAAACGGAGGAAGGUGGGGAUGACGUCAAAUCAUCAUGCCCUUUAUGACUUGGGCUACACACGUACUACAAUGGCGUUAAACAAAGAGAAGCAAGACCGCGAGGUGGAGCAAAACUCAGAAACAACGUCCCAGUUCGGAAUGCAGGCUGCAACUCGCCUGCACGAAGUCGGAAUUGCUAGUAAUCGUGGAUCAGCAUGCCACGGUGAAUACGUUCGCCGGGACACUUGUACACAGCCGCCACGUNCAAGGGGCGGAAUUUCGAUUUAAACCAAUGUCAGGANNCGGGUCCCCAUUUCAGUGAGCGCUAAUUCUGAGCUGCUAUCUGG
RNAcentral lists this ribosomal RNA (1455 nucleotides) under uncultured bacterium. RNAcentral describes it as "bacterial SSU rRNA". It matches the Rfam family "Bacterial small subunit ribosomal RNA". The record is from RNAcentral.